GAUGAACGCUGGCGGCGUGCCUAAUACAUGCAAGUCGAGCGAACGGACGAGAAGCUUGCUUCUCUGAUGUUAGCGGCGGACGGGUGAGUAACACGUGGAUAACCUACCUAUAAGACUGGGAUAACUUCGGGAAACCGGAGCUAAUACCGGAUGAUAUUUUGAACCGCAUGGUUCAAAAGUGAAAGACGGUCUUGCUGUCACUUAUAGAUGGAUCCGCGCUGCAUUAGCUAGUUGGUAAGGUAACGGCUUACCAAGGCAACGAUGCAUAUCCGACCUGAGAGGGUGAUCGGCCACACUGGAACUGAGACACGGUCCAGACUCCUACGGGAGGCAGCAGUAGGGAAUCUUCCGCAAUGGGCGAAAGCCUGACGGAGCAACGCCGCGUGUGUGAUGAAGGUCUUCGGAUCGUAAAACUCUGUUAUUAGGGAAGAACAUAUGUGUAAGUAACUGUGCACAUCUUGACGGUACCUAAUCAGAAAGCCACGGCUAACUACGUG
Molecule: ribosomal RNA, 497 nt
Filed under: uncultured bacterium
Lineage: Bacteria
Description: partial 16S ribosomal RNA
Rfam family: Bacterial small subunit ribosomal RNA
Source: RNAcentral